RNAcentral lists this unclassified non-coding RNA (229 nucleotides) under Hevea brasiliensis (rubber tree). Lineage: Eukaryota; Viridiplantae; Streptophyta; Magnoliopsida; Malpighiales; Euphorbiaceae. The record is from RNAcentral.
GUUUAAACAAAUCCAUUAUUAGAUCGAGGGAGCUUUUGUCAUCCAGUUUCUCAAAUGAUGAGGGAAGGUUUGUGAAACACAGUAUGAACUUUACAAAGGUUUGGAGCAGCGAACUAGAGUUAAAAGGUCGUUGCAUAUUGUGCAAAAAGCAGGCCCUGGAGACAGGAGGGAUAUGUACCAUAUGGAGACCAAUAUGCCCCGACGGGUACGUCUCCAUUGGGGAUAUAGC